UGGCACCAGGAAAUUAAUUACAGCAGCAGCAGCCCAGGCAGGGCAGAUGGAUUGUGAUUGUCAUGAGGGGAUGCACCAAGACCCACUGAGAGCUCAGGUUCUUUUCAAUCUCAGAAGAUUUCUAAGCAAGUCCAGGUAUUCAGUGAAAUCAGCAUCAAGAAUUCUAAGAAAAUAGACCUGAUGCUUCCAGUUGUUCAGGAGAAGAAACACUUGCUAACGGAUGUGACAUGUUUUUGAACCAUUUUCCAAGGUAAUGGAAAAAGUUAAGCAUAUUCCCUAG
Molecule: long non-coding RNA, 280 nt
Organism: Pseudopipra pipra
Lineage: Eukaryota; Metazoa; Chordata; Aves; Passeriformes; Pipridae
Exons: 4
Source: RefSeq, a predicted model, not a curated record